This 76-nucleotide transfer RNA is filed under the name Desulforhopalus sp. Its description in RNAcentral is "tRNA-Ala". It matches the Rfam family "tRNA". From Rfam's summary of the family: Transfer RNA (tRNA) molecules are approximately 80 nucleotides in length. Their secondary structure includes four short double-helical elements and three loops (D, anti-codon, and T loops). The record is from RNAcentral. RNAcentral also lists the same sequence under 2 other names. Lineage: Bacteria; Pseudomonadati; Thermodesulfobacteriota; Desulfobulbia; Desulfobulbales; Desulfocapsaceae.
GGGGCUAUAGCUCAGCUGGGAGAGCGCUUGACUGGCAGUCAAGAGGUCGACGGUUCGAUCCCGUCUAGCUCCACCA